AGUGAACGCUGGCGGUAGGCCUAACACAUGCAAGUCGAACGGCAGCACAGUAAGAGCUUGCUCUUACGGGUGGCGAGUGGCGGACGGGUGAGGAAUACAUCGGAAUCUACUUUUUCGUGGGGGAUAACGUAGGGAAACUUACGCUAAUACCGCAUACGACCUACGGGUGAAAGCAGGGGAUCUUCGGACCUUGCGCGAUUGAAUGAGCCGAUGUCGGAUUAGCUAGUUGGCGGGGUAAAGGCCCACCAAGGCGACGAUCCGUAGCUGGUCUGAGAGGAUGGUCGGCCACACUGGAACUGAGACACGGUCCAGGCUCCUACGGGAGGCAGCAGUGGGGAAUAGUGGACAAUGGGCGCAAGCCUGAUCCAGCCAUACCGCGUGGGUGAAGAAGGCCUUCGGGUUGUAAAGCCCUUUUGUUGGGAAAGAAAAGCAGCAGGUUAAUACCCCGCUGUUCUGACGGUACCCAAAGAAUAAGCACCGGCUAACUUCGUG
This 492-nucleotide ribosomal RNA is filed under the name uncultured bacterium. Its description in RNAcentral is "partial 16S ribosomal RNA". It matches the Rfam family "Bacterial small subunit ribosomal RNA", at positions 29 to 507 of the family's 1533-position model. The record is from RNAcentral.